Molecule: ribosomal RNA, 260 nt
Filed under: uncultured bacterium
Lineage: Bacteria
Description: partial 16S ribosomal RNA
Rfam family: Bacterial small subunit ribosomal RNA
Source: RNAcentral
AGUGGCGGACGGGUGAGUAACGCGUGGGUAACCUGCCUCAUACAGGGGGAUAACAGUUAGAAAUGACUGCUAAAACCGCAUAAGCGCACAAAACCGCAUGGUUUGGUGUGAAAAACUCCGGUGGUAUGAGAUGGACCCGCGUCUGAUUAGCUAGUUGGAGAGGUAACGGCUCACCAAGGCGACGAUCAGUAGCCGACCUGAGAGGGUGACCGGCCACAUUGGGACUGAGACACGGCCCAAACUCCUACGGAAGGCAGCAG